GCGCCCGUAGCUCAGGUGGAUAGAGCAUCGGUCUUCUAAACCGAGGGUCGCUGGUUCGAAUCCAGCCGGGCGCGCCA
Molecule: transfer RNA, 77 nt
Filed under: Acidobacteriota bacterium
Lineage: Bacteria; Pseudomonadati; Acidobacteriota
Also listed under: 2 other names
Description: Acidobacteria bacterium (sponge metagenome) tRNA-Arg
Rfam family: tRNA
About the family: Transfer RNA (tRNA) molecules are approximately 80 nucleotides in length. Their secondary structure includes four short double-helical elements and three loops (D, anti-codon, and T loops).
Source: RNAcentral